UUUGGGCGAUCGAGCGCAACUUUAGUUGUGUUAGGAAGGUCCAUGCUCGCACGGGCUGCGAUGCCCGUAGUGUUUGUGCUCGCUGAAAAAAUAAGGCGGGGCACCGGGCAACCGGUGACGGCGGAAAAAACGGCUACGGCCUUGGCUAUGCCCGAGUAUUCCUGAAAAGUGCCACAGUGACGAAGGGGGUUGGGAAACCAACCUCGUGGAACGCGGUAAACCCCUCAAGCGGUAAACCCAAACUACGGUCGGGGAGCUUUGGAUAGCAAAUUGAAGCGAUUCCAGGGGAGCGGCAGUUGCCGCUGAGAUAGAUGAUUGCCACGGCGCGUGCUUGCCUGAGGCGCGCGCUUCGACAAAACAUGGCCUACAG
RNAcentral lists this RNase P RNA (370 nucleotides) under uncultured Limosilactobacillus sp. RNAcentral describes it as "Bacterial RNase P class B". It matches the Rfam family "Bacterial RNase P class B". Rfam says of the family: Ribonuclease P (RNase P) is a ubiquitous endoribonuclease, found in archaea, bacteria and eukarya as well as chloroplasts and mitochondria. Its best characterised activity is the generation of mature 5'-ends of tRNAs by cleaving the 5'-leader elements of precursor-tRNAs. Lineage: Bacteria; Bacillati; Bacillota; Bacilli; Lactobacillales; Lactobacillaceae. The record is from RNAcentral.